GGGUCUGAAGCUCAACUGGCUGAGCGGCCGGCUGUUAACCGGCGAGGUGCGGGUUCGAGUCCCGCCGGACCCU
Molecule: transfer RNA, 73 nt
Filed under: Kofleriaceae bacterium
Lineage: Bacteria; Pseudomonadati; Myxococcota; Haliangiales; Kofleriaceae
Description: tRNA-Asn
Rfam family: tRNA
About the family: Transfer RNA (tRNA) molecules are approximately 80 nucleotides in length. Their secondary structure includes four short double-helical elements and three loops (D, anti-codon, and T loops).
Source: RNAcentral